This 318-nucleotide ribosomal RNA is filed under the name uncultured eukaryote. RNAcentral describes it as "partial 18S ribosomal RNA". It matches the Rfam family "Eukaryotic small subunit ribosomal RNA", at positions 1470 to 1796 of the family's 1831-position model. The record is from RNAcentral.
CCCUUAGAUGUUCUGGGCCGCACGCGCGCUACACUGAUUCAUGCACUAAGUAUAUAACCUUGGUAGAAAUGCUUGGGUAGUCUUCGAAACUGAAUCGUGCUGGGGAUUGGAGCUUGUAAUUAUUCUCCAUGAACGAGGAAUUCCUAGUAAACGCGAGUCAUCAGCUCGCAUUGAUUACGUCCCUGCCCUUUGUACACACCGCCCGUCGCACCUACCGAUUGAAUGGUCCGGUGAAAUCUUCGGACCGCGCAACGCCGCAAGGUGAUGCGUGGAAAGUUGCUUAAACCUUACCAUUUAGAGGAAGGUGAAGUCGUAACA